ACCUGACUGCUAUCGGAUUGAUACUAAGCCAUGCGAGUCAUUGUAGUAAUACAAGGCAGACGGCUCAGUAACGCGUAGUCAACCUAACCUAUGGAUGGGAAUAACCUCGGGAAACUGAGUAUAAUGCCCGAUAGAACAUUAUGCCUGGAAUGGUUUAUGUUCCAAAUGAUUUAUCGCCGUAGGGUGGGACUGCGGCCUAUCAGUUUGUUGGUGAGGUAAUGGCCCACCAAGACUAUUACAGGUACGGGCUCUGAGAGGAGUGGCCCGGAGAUGGGUACUGAGACACGGACCCAGGCCCUAUGGGGCGCAGCAGGCGAGAAAACUUUGCAAUGUGCGAAAGCACGACAAGGUUAAUCCGAGUGGUUUCUGCUAAAGGAACCUUUUGUCGGUCCUAGAAACACCGAUGAAUAAGGGGUGGGCAAGUUCUGGUGUCAGCCGCCGCGGUAAAACCAGCACCUCAAGUGGUCAGGAUGAUUAUUGGGCCUAAAGCAUCCGUAGCCGGCUCUGUAAGUUUUCGGUUAAAUCUGUACGCUUAACGUACAGGCUGCCGGGAAUACUGCAAAGCUAGGGAGUGGGAGAGGUAGACGGUACUCGGUAGGAAGGGGUAAAAUCCUUUGAUCUAUUGAUGACCACCUGUGGCGAAGGCGGUCUACCAGAACACGUCCGACGGUGAGGGAUGAAAGCUGGGGGAGCAAACCGGAUUAGAUACCCGGGUAGUCCCAGCUGUAAACUAUGCAAACUCAGUGAUGCAUUGGCUUGUGGCCAAUGCAGUGCUGCAGGGAAGCCGUUAAGUUUGCCGCCUGGGAAGUACGUACGCAAGUAUGAAACUUAAAGGAAUUGGCGGGGGAGCACCACAAGGGGUGAAGCCUGCGGUUC
RNAcentral lists this ribosomal RNA (876 nucleotides) under uncultured Nitrososphaerota archaeon. RNAcentral describes it as "bacterial SSU rRNA". It matches the Rfam family "Archaeal small subunit ribosomal RNA", at positions 21 to 903 of the family's 1478-position model. The record is from RNAcentral. Lineage: Archaea; Thermoproteati; Nitrososphaerota.